This 128-nucleotide non-coding RNA is filed under the name Rhodobacterales bacterium HTCC2255. Its description in RNAcentral is "Ruegeria cis8 sRNA". It matches the Rfam family "Ruegeria cis8 sRNA". From Rfam's summary of the family: Cis-encoded. Targets hypothetical protein. Lineage: Bacteria; Pseudomonadati; Pseudomonadota; Alphaproteobacteria; Rhodobacterales. The record is from Rfam by way of RNAcentral.
AUAGUUAAUAUUUUGGCAAUAUACGGAAUUAAAGGUAAAUUAAGGACUAGUAGCACAAUAUUACCAAUAUACAUUGAAAUUAUAACUGCCCAAAAUAUUUGAGGCUCAUCAAUCAUUAACCUUGGACC